AGAAGUGCGCGCUGCGACACCUCCCAGUUCACUCGGCCCCGCCGCCAUUUCGUCGCCUGGCCUAACGGUUCGGCCAAUCCCGACGCGUAUUGAAAAGAACUAGUGCUCCGCCAAUCGGAGGCCGCUGACUCCGACCUCACCUCGGGCCGGCCCAAUCCAGGCCGCGGCCCCGCCGCCCCCAACCCGCCCCCGCGGCGUCCUCUCUCCUCCCUCUUUGUGCGUCUGGCGCCGCCGCCGCCCGCCGCGUGAGAGGACGGGCUCCCCGCGCUCUUCGGGAGCGUAGUCGGGUCCCCUCCCCCCAACCCGCGAAGGUUCGUGAAGGAGAAGCCGCCGCGGAGGACGAGGAACCGCUGGUGCCGGUCCCCUGGGGCGCCAUGGCGACCGGAGCGAACGCCACGCCGCUGGACUUCCCAAGUAAGAAGAGGAAGAGGAGCCGAUGGAACCAAGACACAAUGGAACAGAAGACAGUGAUUCCAGGCAUGCCUACGGUUAUCCCCCCUGGCCUGACUCGGGAACAAGAAAGAGCUUAUAUAGGUCCCCUUCCCCUGAGCCAAUCUACAACAGCGAGGGGAAGCGGCUUAAUACUCGAGAAUUCCGUACCCGAAAAAAGCUUGAAGAGGAGCGGCAUACCCUCAUUACGGAGAUGGUUGCUCUCAACCCAGACUUUAAACCACCUGCAGAU
This 682-nucleotide long non-coding RNA is filed under the name Rattus norvegicus (Norway rat). RNAcentral describes it as "long non-coding RNA NONRATT001471". The record is from RNAcentral. Lineage: Eukaryota; Metazoa; Chordata; Mammalia; Rodentia; Muridae.